UGAUGGAGCAACGCCGCGUGAGUGAUGAAGGCCUUCGGGUUGUAAAACUCUGUCAUUCGGGACGAACCGGAGUCUGAGGAAAUGCAGACUCUCUGACGGUACCGGAGGAGGAAGCCCCGGCUAACUACGUGCCAGCAGCCGCGGUAAUACGUAGGGGGCAAGCGUUGUCCGGAUUCACUGGGCGUAAAGCGCGCGCAGGCGGUGAUGUAAGUCUGAGGUGAAAACCCGAAGCUCAACUUCGGGACUGCCUUGGAUACUGCGUCACUUGAGGAUAGGAGAGGCAAGGGGAAUUCCACGUGUAGCGGUGAAAUGCGUAGAGAUGUGGAGGAACACCUGUGGCGAAGGCGCCUUGCUGGCCUAUUUCUGACGCUGAGGCGCGAAAGCGUGGGGAGCAAACAGGAUUAGAUACCCUGGUAGUCCACGCUGUAAACGAUGAGUGCUAGGUGUAGGUGGGCUCAUACCCAUCUGUGCCGAAGCUAACGCAUUAAGCACUCCGCCUGGGGAGUACGGUCGCAAGACUGAAACUCAAAGGAAUUGACGGGGGCCCGCACAAGCAGUGGAGCAUGUGGUUUAAUUCGAAGCAACGCGAAGAACCUUACCAGGACUUGACAUCCCAUAGACCAGUCUAGAGAUAGACUUUCCCUUCGGGGCUGUGGUGACAGGUGGUGCAUGGUUGUCGUCAGCUCGUGUCGUGAGAUGUUGGGUUAAGUCCCGCAACGAGCGCAACCCUUACUUUGUGUUGCCAGCAUUCAGUUGGGCACUCACAAGGGACUGCCGCCGAUAAGGCGGAGGAAGGUGGGGAUGACGUCAAAUCAUCAUGCCCCUUAUGUCCUGGGCUACACACGUGCUACAAUGGGCGGUACAACGGGAUGCGAAGCCGCGAGGUGGAGCCAAACCCUGAAAACCGUUCGUAGUUCGGAUUGUAGGCUGCAACUCGCCUACAUGAAGCCGGAAUUGCUAGUAAUCGCGGAUCAGCAUGCCGCGGUGAAUCCGUUCCCGGGCCUUGUACACACCGCCCGUCACACCACGAGAAUGGGCAACACCCGAAGUCGGUGGGGUAACCUUUACGGGAGCUAGCCGCCGAAGGUGGGGCCUGUGAUUGGGGUGAAGUCGUAACAAGGUAGCCGUA
RNAcentral lists this ribosomal RNA (1129 nucleotides) under uncultured bacterium. Its description in RNAcentral is "bacterial SSU rRNA". It matches the Rfam family "Bacterial small subunit ribosomal RNA", at positions 384 to 1504 of the family's 1533-position model. The record is from RNAcentral.